GCCAUCGAUCGUGUCCUCUGCUAGGUCGCACUCCCCGCAGCCUUCGCAUGGCGGCGGCUCUUUCCUUCGGGGAGUGACGGCGACCGAUUUCGGAGCGACGGAUUCCCAUGGUGAGUGGCCGACCUCGCUGGUUUGGAAAGCGCCUCGUAGGGCAACGACACGAGUUCCGUUUGGUUGCAAGGCGCGACGGGAUGGUGUGUGGCGGCGAAUAGUGUUCCGUCUUUGGCGUUUUCCUCCUCCUCGGUUGCUGAGAUGGCCGGUCGCGGGAAGGCAGUCGAUGCCGGCGCGUCCAAAGGCGACGUCGAGGAGCUCCGAGGCCGGGCUAUAGUUUUUCCUCGGCAGGAUCGCCAGAUUCCUCAAGGUCGUCAAAUACACAAGUUCUUCGGCACAUGAGUACCUCGCCGCUGAGGUCCUGGAACUGGCCGGCAACACUGCCAGGCACAACAACAAGACAUGUAUCAUGUCAGGCCCCGCCACAUCCUGCUCACCAUGCGCAAUGAUGCUGAGCUGACCAAGCUGCUCGGCGGUGCCACCUGUAGGUGCGCCUCUCGCCGUGUGGAUACAUUUCAGAGCCGCAACAUCCUUCCAAGGAACACAAGACGGACAUGAACUUGGAGCAAGUCCGUCCGUGUCAGCUCCUUUUCAUUUAUUUAUUUUGAGAAUUCCUUCUCAUUUAUUCAUGAGCUUACUUGUGCUACUAUUCUUGUCCGCCGUUCCUUUUCUGCUUGCAUGUUUGGAGCCAUGAGGAUUGCCACUCGCAUAAGCGGCGGCAUACCCCAGAUGGCAACUUGCGUGAAUGAGCUGAUGAGAGGUGAUGGUGAAAGGCUAAUGAUGGCUUCUUUGACCAACACUCGUGCCAUCCCUGGUCUUCUACUCCUCACCAAUACACCAUCGCGUGCCUUAGACUACACCGACACCCUAGGGUUUCCUUUAGUUGUGUUUUCCGUAGAAGUACCAAAGCGUUUUUAGAGUUUGACAAUAACCUGGCCAUUUUGUUAAUGGAUGAAUAUUCAGAUCAGAUAUAGAAAUCUAACACAUAUGUAUAUAUAUUAGUUGUACCUAUCGUUAUGCUAAAAAUGCAGUUUUGUUCAUUUUGCUUUUUUCUCACAUGCGGUGGUGGACACGAAUGCAAAAAAUAUAUUUGUUUACAUGACUCA
Molecule: long non-coding RNA, 1157 nt
Organism: Triticum aestivum (bread wheat)
Lineage: Eukaryota; Viridiplantae; Streptophyta; Magnoliopsida; Poales; Poaceae
Exons: 3
Source: RefSeq, a predicted model, not a curated record